UGCACAUUCACAAAUAGAAUUUAAAGCGUUCAGAUUUUCAGACAAAACAACUUGAUAAGACUGCCAUUGCGAUAUUACAUUCAUUACUACUCAAGACUUAAUAAUCUAGAAGCUGAUAACACACUUAAUAAAACCAUAACAUAACAUAUAAAAACCAGAAUACAUGAAUCAAUUCAAGAUCUCCCCACAUACUUGAUUCCUUAACGAUGAAAGGGGCCUUUGGGAUCGAGCUGCUUGCAAAUCGCGAGAUAAGUGAGAUACAGAACCCGAUCUUUGGCUCCAGUGCGAUGAUUCUUGGUGUGCUUGCAGAAAUACUUCAAUUGCUCAAGUGUCUACAUCCCAGCAUCUGUACAACCCU
This 358-nucleotide long non-coding RNA is filed under the name Daucus carota (carrot). RNAcentral describes it as "long non-coding RNA (DCAR_LNC003543)". The record is from RNAcentral. Lineage: Eukaryota; Viridiplantae; Streptophyta; Magnoliopsida; Apiales; Apiaceae.